AAUUAAAAUAAAUAAAUAAACUGAGAAAUUUUCCAUCAAGGUGGUGUCGAUUGACACGUUAUAUGCGAGUUAGUGGCUAACUUUAAUCGUUGAGGGUUCAUUGAGAAAGUAGGAGCGGUUAUUGGGAACAGAAGCACGAUUCACAGUUCGAGUUAAUUGACUAUAGAGUGUCUAGUGUUGGUGAGUAGCGUGACCGGUGUUGUGUACAUGUGGCUGGAGCAAAAUGGAGUAUUCCAACCCAUCUCUCUUGUUACUCAGUAGCUAGGGAUAGUUAGUUGUGCAACUAAGUAACAAGCUGGGAUGAUGUUUGGUGAUAUGAAUCAAGCGGAGCAUGUUCAAAAAGAGAAGUCAGGUUGUUUGUCAGAUUGGAUGACGAGUAUGUUUGAUGAAGAUGGAUCAGAAUUUAUGUAAGGUACGUGAUGAGGUUAAGUACAUUCAUAUUCUUGUCGUGUUAGUACGUAAAAUGGCUAGAUUGGGUUGUUAGAGCGAAUCUAGCUGUUUAUGGCAGCUUUUGUAAGAAGUUGAGCAGAGGUCAAUAAUUUUAUCGGUAAUUAUGGGGUGCCCGUGUGAUUGUGUUCUGGUAUGUUCGGAGCGAAGACAGAAAAAUCCGCGUCGGGGUGUCACAACACAGAAGAUCACUCAACCCUUUACUCAUACUUGUAUUCUGAAGUCUCUUAUAUAAGACCAUAUAGCUACUAUUUUCACGACACUGAAUAUUUGUAACAAGCUUUUGGUACUUAUAAGUUACAACUUAGUAACAGAAUGCGAUUGAAUAAAAGAUGUAGCUAAAGUGUUACAACACGUAGAAAAUUAGCGACAAAUUACGAGAACUGUUUUUUGGUAACAAAUUUGU
Molecule: small RNA, 853 nt
Filed under: Arabidopsis thaliana (thale cress)
Lineage: Eukaryota; Viridiplantae; Streptophyta; Magnoliopsida; Brassicales; Brassicaceae
Description: ATSL275950
Source: RNAcentral